AUUGAACGCUGGCGGCAGGCUUAACACAUGCAAGUCGAGCGGUAGCACAAGAGAGCUUGCUCUCUGGGUGACGAGCGGCGGACGGGUGAGUAAUGUCUGGGAAACUGCCUGAUGGAGGGGGAUAACUACUGGAAACGGUAGCUAAUACCGCAUAACGUCGCAAGACCAAAGAGGGGGACCUUCGGGCCUCUUGCCAUCAGAUGUGCCCAGAUGGGAUUAGCUAGUAGGUGGGGUAAUGGCUCACCUAGGCGACGAUCCCUAGCUGGUCUGAGAGAUGACCAGCCACACUGGAACUGAGACACGGUCCAGACUCCUACGGGAGGCAGCAGUGGGGAAUAUUGCACAAUGGGCGCAAGCCUGAUGCAGCCAUGCCGCGUGUGUGAAGAAGGCCUUCGGGUUGUAAAGCACUUUCAGCGAGGAGGAAGGUGGUGAACUUAAUACGUUCAUCAAUUGACGUUACUCGCAGAAGAAGCACCGGCUAACUCCGUG
RNAcentral lists this ribosomal RNA (489 nucleotides) under uncultured bacterium. RNAcentral describes it as "partial 16S ribosomal RNA". It matches the Rfam family "Bacterial small subunit ribosomal RNA", at positions 30 to 507 of the family's 1533-position model. The record is from RNAcentral.